RNAcentral lists this long non-coding RNA (2047 nucleotides) under Homo sapiens (human). RNAcentral's name for it is "novel transcript, antisense to ICE1". The record is from RNAcentral. Lineage: Eukaryota; Metazoa; Chordata; Mammalia; Primates; Hominidae.
AUGUGUCCUCGCCGGUCGCCGCGGCAGCCAGUGAUGCCCGAGCGGCGGGUUCCCAGGCCCAGGUGUGGGCGCCACCGCCCACCAUGCGCCAAGCCCAGAGCCUGGUUGAAUCGUUCGCCACCUUGUCUACCCAUUUUGGCCAUUAUCCUGCCACCUCCAAAUCCUGUUUUUGACACUUCUCGGGAGAGAGAGAAAACGGAAAGAUAAAGGAAUAAACUCCUCGUGGUCGUAGUUAGUGGGUAAAUUCAGAUCUCGUUUGAACCGAGGUUUUUCUUAUCUCCAGCCACCGUAUCCACCACCACCAGAAUCGUCUUUUUAGUCAUCACAGCUGGUCGCCGUCAGUACCUUGUUCAGAAGCCUCUCGCAGCUUCCAUCGUGUGGUUAUACAAUCCAAAUUCCUUAUAAAGUCCAAAUUCAAGAGGAGGAAUGCACGUUUAGUUAAGUUAAUGUCUAGACCUUACCAGCCAAUUUCUAGCUCCUCAGUAUGGAAAUUGCAACUGAAAACACCCCUUCCAAAAAAAGCAGUCUGCAUUUUUCUCUGAGUUUUCUUCUCCAAAUUUCGCACCCCUGACCUUGCUUACACACUCUGGAUACCACCUGCUGUGGAGUGGCGGAAGCAGACAUCCAGCGAUAGCUAAGUUUCCUGUCGUUGACACCCAAGCAAGACAGGCGUGUACCUAACUGAGGACCUGCCGGUGAUAGAAGUCUCAGCUUUUCUCAGAGACAGAUGAGUCUUCCCUUUAAAUGCUGCAAAGUGCUGCAUAGUAGAUGUUAAAUGAAAGUCAGAAAGAAUCAAAUGUGCUGCAAAUAAUUGAAGACCAGAUUACAGAGGGGUAUUGAUUUGCCUUUCCCCCGCCCCCACCAUCACAGUGUGUCCCUGUCCAGUGUUGGUGCUCUGUGGCAUUGCUUGUGUCCAUAGGAGUCCAUCAAGGCAGAGCGGCAAGAGCCAGUUCAACCCAAUGGAAAUAGAUUAAAAGAGUGAAAGUCACUGGUCUCAAAGAAUCUACGGAAUUCAGCAUUUUGGAAAUCACAUAGCAAUUUUGGGUAGGUAUUCACAUGCACUAAAAAACCAGGCAAACAUCCGACUCCCAGGAUAAAGUGACUGAGAGCAGUAGAAGACUUGUUGAGCCGUAAGGAAUAAGAGGAAAAUUAUGUUAUGAAGUGCAGGAACAGCACAGACCCAGACGAGGGGAUGCAGCCCAGAGCCAGUAACCCGGUGCCUCCUCCUCCCCAGGAAGCAGCGCUGGCUGAUCCCCAGAUACCAUGAUCACACCGUCCCAGGUCCUGAGAGCGCCUCAUAGGUAGACAGUUCUUUGGGACUUUUGGGACGCAGCACUUGAAGAGAGGUCUACCUAAACUUUCCUCCUGGGAGCCUGUGAUCAUUUGAAAGUAACAGAAGAAAGUUGUCAGGCUGAGGAAAGUUUCAACAGGCACUUGGUGAGAAUGGGAAGCAUCCAUUCAUUGCGAAAUCGCGGGGACAGAGGAGGAAUUCACGGGAUCAGAGCACUGAGAAACUCCAGAGGCUUCUGGUUCACCGCCCUGAUUCCACAGAUGUGGGUCAGAGGCAGAGAUGGAAGUUGGAAUGGACAAGCCUGCCCUCUCAUCGGCUCUCCAUGGCUCUGUCCUCAGGCUGUUUCUGCAAUUUGACAUGAGGCCUGGCCCCAGGGAAACCAGUGGGGCCUCAUCUCCUCCCUGUGCUGCUCUGAGAUGGAGUCUUCUCAGGGUCAGUCCAGCUCUGGAGCCCCUCUCCAGCUCGGUCACCAAAGCUGUCUGGUCCCAGGGCGGUGCUGAGUGACAGGCACACCAGCCAGUCCAAUUGGCCAUUUCAUACCCAAUGCAUGUGACUGAUAAAGAGAUAACACCCUGUCUCCAAGACACAGGCUUUACAUAAACAGCUUUAAUGACCUCUUCACCUAGAGACAAGACUCCUUAGUGGUGGAACCUCAGGCAUCCGUGCAGGAUGUAAGAAAGCUCCCGUAUAUACAUGAACUGAGAAGUGUGUAGAAGAAUAAAUACUGUAAUAGGUAAUAAAAUGUAUGUAUUUUUA